RNAcentral lists this ribosomal RNA (305 nucleotides) under uncultured bacterium. Its description in RNAcentral is "bacterial SSU rRNA". It matches the Rfam family "Bacterial small subunit ribosomal RNA", at positions 332 to 654 of the family's 1533-position model. The record is from RNAcentral.
CGGACCCUACGGGGGGCAGCAGUGGGGAAUAUUGCACAAUGGGGGGAACCCUGAUGCAGCGACGCCGCGUGAGUGAAGAAGUAUUUCGGUAUGUAAAGCUCUGUCAGCAGGGAAGAAGAAAGACGGUACCUGACCAAGAAGCCCCGGCUAACUACGUGCCAGCAGCCGCGGUAAUACGUAGGGGGCAAGCGUUAUCCGGAUUUACUGGGUGUAAAGGGGGCGCAGACGGCGAUGCAAGCCAGGAGUGAAAGCCCGGGGCCCAACCCCGGGACUGCUCUUGGAACUGCGUGGCUGGAGUGCAGGAG